UAAAACCAUUUGUGGCCUGUAUGUGUU
This 27-nucleotide non-coding RNA is filed under the name Mus musculus (house mouse). Lineage: Eukaryota; Metazoa; Chordata; Mammalia; Rodentia; Muridae. The record is from RNAcentral.